This 1065-nucleotide long non-coding RNA is filed under the name Equus caballus (horse). Its description in RNAcentral is "lncRNA (ENSECAG00000029442.3)". Lineage: Eukaryota; Metazoa; Chordata; Mammalia; Perissodactyla; Equidae. The record is from RNAcentral.
GCCACAUCACUCUGACCUCGGCUUCUGUAAUCACAUUUUCUUCUCUGACUCUGCCUCUCCUGCCACCUUCUUUUCCUUGAGGACUCUGGUGAUGACAUUGGGCUUACAUAAAUAAUCCAGAAUAAUCUCGCCAUCAAGAUCCUUACAUUAAUCCCAUCUGCCAAGUCCUCUACGCCAGCCCAGCACCAGGAUUAAAAGGCAUCAGGUCCCAGGAUGGACACACCUCUCCCCGCUCUUUCCGCAACAGAGACAGGAAGGUGGUAUUGGCAAACUUCUCCCAAAGACGUGGUGGCUCACCCAGGAGAGCAGCCCCGGGCAGGCGGGGUCCCAGGCCUGGAGAGGUCUGUAGAGGUUGGCAGGACCAGGGAUUCCCAAACGCGUCAAGCAGCAGAAGCCUCAUAGAAGAUCAAAGUCCGCUUGGAAGUCUCGUGCGGAAGUGGCAUUGUACCACCAGACCGUGUGUGCGUUUAAAAACAGUGCUUCCCAAUUACCGCAGAAGAUGAACUACGAGGCAGGUUUAAAACUGUCAAAGCAGUUUAGAUUUCUAAGCCACAAGUGAUAAAAUAUUUAAAUGUGUUUGGUAAGUUCGAACAUAGAACAUUUACUUGUUGUAAAGGCACCGUGAUGACAGCCCUGAGGCGGCUUUUAUGAACACAAACACAAAAAGCAAAGUUGUAAUCAUUUAAGUCUCAGCAUCCAAUUUAUUUCUGUGUUACCUUUGCUUGCUCAGGUUUGAGAAGAAUCUGGGUUUGCAAGGAUAAGUGGCUUAAAGAGCUCACCUGGAAAUCUCAGGGUACUCUUAGAUUCAAGAAUUUGAUUCAUUCAUCCACCCAACAAAUAGUUAUUGAGUGUCUAGUAGGUGUCAGGCAUUCUGCUGAGGUUUGAACAAUAAGGAGGACUAUUUGUUUCAGUCUAAGUUACUAAGAUAACAAUUAUUCCCUUCGUCAUUGUGAGUGUAAGUCAAAUGAAAAGAUUCAAGCUUAUAAUAAGCACCACUUCUCUCUGUAGUAUCCUAUUAUGAUAUUGCAACAGGCGUGUGCAACUGCUUAACAGAGAGGCUCAUGC